GAUGAAGAACGUAGCGAAAUGCGAUAAGUAGUGUGAAUUGCAGAAUUCAGUGAAUCAUCGAAUCUUUGAACGCACAUUGCGCCUUCUAGUAUUCUGGGAGGCAUGCCUGUUUGAGCGUCAUUAAACCUCUCUCAAGUAUGAUUACUUGGAUGUGAAGGAAGAGUACCUUAAACUUAAGGAGUGUUCUCCUUUGAAAUUGAUUAGCAGAUGGUAAUGUUAUUAAAUCCCUGAUGUUGUAAGAAAUAACAGUGGUUUUGUAGACUAUUAUCUAGCUUUAAAUUAUAAUUUUUAUUAUGGUUGACCUCAAAUCAGGUAAGGAUACCCGCUGAACUUAAGCAUAUCAAUAAGCGGGA
This 353-nucleotide unclassified non-coding RNA is filed under the name soil metagenome. RNAcentral describes it as "partial contains 5.8S ribosomal RNA, internal transcribed spacer 2, and large subunit ribosomal RNA". The stretch from base 1 to 120 matches the Rfam family "5.8S ribosomal RNA", at positions 35 to 154 of the family's 154-position model. The record is from RNAcentral.